RNAcentral lists this ribosomal RNA (442 nucleotides) under uncultured bacterium. RNAcentral describes it as "partial 16S ribosomal RNA". It matches the Rfam family "Bacterial small subunit ribosomal RNA", at positions 338 to 795 of the family's 1533-position model. The record is from RNAcentral.
CCUACGGGUGGCAGCAGUGGGGGAUAUUGGACAAUGGGGGGAACCCUGAUCCAGCGACGCCGCGUGAGUGAAGAAGUAUCUCGGUACGUAAAGCUCUAUCAGCAGGGAAGAAGAAAUGACGGUACCUGAGUAAGAAGCCCCGGCUAACUACGUGCCAGCAGCCGCGGUAAUACGUAGGGGGCACGCGUUAUCCGGAUUUACUGGGUGUAAAGGGAGCGUAGACGGUGAUGUAAGUCUGGAGUGAAAGGCGGGGGCCCAACCCCCGGACUGCUCUGGAAACUAUGUGACUGGAGUGCAGGAGAGGUGAGCGGAAUUCCUAGUGUAGCGGUGAAAUGCGUAGAUAUUAGGAGGAACACCAGUGGCGAAGGCGGCCUGCUGGACAGAAACUGACGUUGAGGCUCGAAAGCGUGGGGAGCAAACAGGAUUAGAUACCCCAGUAGUC